RNAcentral lists this non-coding RNA (31 nucleotides) under Mus musculus (house mouse). Lineage: Eukaryota; Metazoa; Chordata; Mammalia; Rodentia; Muridae. The record is from RNAcentral.
UGAGCCUGAUGUCUACAUUAACCAUGACCCC